GACGAACGCUGGCGGCGUGCCUAAUACAUGCAAGUAGAACGCUGAAGGAGGAGCUUGCUCUUCUGGAUGAGUUGCGAACGGGUGAGUAACGCGUAGGUAACCUGCCUGGUAGCGGGGGAUAACUAUUGGAAACGAUAGCUAAUACCGCAUAACAGUAGAUGUUGCAUGACAUUUACUUAAAAGGUGCAAUUGCAUCACUACCAGAUGGACCUGCGUUGUAUUAGCUAGUUGGUGGGGUAACGGCUCACCAAGGCGACGAUACAUAGCCGACCUGAGAGGGUGAUCGGCCACACUGGGACUGAGACACGGCCCAGACUCCUACGGGAGGCAGCAGUAGGGAAUCUUCGGCAAUGGACGGAAGUCUGACCGAGCAACGCCGCGUGAGUGAAGAAGGUUUUCGGAUCGUAAAGCUCUGUUGUAAGAGAAGAACGAGUGUGAGAGUGGAAAGUUCACACUGUGACGGUAGCUUACCAGAAGGGGACGGCUAACUACGUG
Molecule: ribosomal RNA, 495 nt
Filed under: uncultured bacterium
Lineage: Bacteria
Description: partial 16S ribosomal RNA
Rfam family: Bacterial small subunit ribosomal RNA
Source: RNAcentral